UACAGAGGGUGCGAGCGUUGUCCGGAAUCACUGGGCGUAAAGGGCGCGUAGGUGGUGGCUUAAGCGUGCGGUGAAAGCUCGGGGCUCAACUCCGAGUCGGCCGUGCGGACUGGGCUCACUGGAGCAUAGUAGAGGCAGGUGGAAUUCCGGGUGUAGCGGUGGAAUGCGUAGAUAUCGAGGAGACACCGGUGGCGAAGGCG
RNAcentral lists this ribosomal RNA (200 nucleotides) under uncultured bacterium. RNAcentral describes it as "partial 16S ribosomal RNA". It matches the Rfam family "Bacterial small subunit ribosomal RNA", at positions 524 to 723 of the family's 1533-position model. The record is from RNAcentral.